GGCAAAUCUGGAUGCAGGGGCAAACAUUAUCUGAUUUUUUCUUUAUUGUUCUGUUUCUUUUUUGGUUUCGGGUAUUUGGAUUUGAUUUUGUGAUCGUUGUUCUGAUUGUGCAAGGAGGAGUCUAUUGCACGUAGAACAUAGAAACUGCCUUUUUAUAUAGUUUGUAAUCGAAGAUUUACUCUACUUCUUUCUGCUUCACGUUUCAUUUUUGAAUUUCAAUUUAUAAGUUGGAACCGCGGCUACGCUUAUAAUAGAGAUCAUGUGGUCGUGCAUAUGUUACCGAGACCCGUCUUCAAUAGCCCGUCCGAAUUUGAAAAUCCUUGGCCACAGCCUUAUUGGUCUUGACAGUAAGCCAGCGAAUGUACCAAGAAACCGGUGGCAGAUUGAAAAAAAAAUGAAGGCUUAAAAACCUGUUCCACUACCACCUCAUGUCGUUUUUCUCUAUCUUAUAACGUACCUGCCGACAAUAAGCGCAAUACCAAGAGUUGAACAAAAAACAUUGUUUCUCCUGACAAAUAGAGAGAGACCUUUCUUACAUCGACUGUAUGUACACGUAUUGGGAUUGUUCUUGACCACCUAUGGAACUUCCAUGCCAAAAAUUUGUCACCAUCCUCUGGCUGCCCUUUUCCAUUAUCCUUUGAUGUAACUUUUCUUGAUAUGUUUUGCUUCAUAAGAAAAAAAAACUCAAUUCUCUCAAAUAUUGCUUUUAUUUAAAGAUUUUAAAUAUACACGUUUGACUCAUACAACGAUAAGUUUAAAAAAUAAACCGGAAGUUCGUGGUCUUUGAUCAUUCUAGCGAAUGAUCGGUAGUUUGGAUUAGUUAACAUUUCGUAAGCUGCUUGAGGUGGUUUGUGUGCCAGUAUUUUUCAGAGAUCGAAUGAUCGUUGUGAAGAUUGUAUUUGAAAAUAGUUUCUUAAGCAAACACUUUGCGGCUAGAACUAUUGAGUAAGGAAUAUUUUUCUUCAUUAACAGAAAGGAAAUAAAGAUGUAAGCAAAAUCAAAAGGUGACCCCAUUAUACACAAACGCAAGAAACAUUCAAUUAUUUAGGAUUUCAUUAUUUAGAGACAUUUUAAUGUAGUGGGAAAAAACAAAAGAAUGGAUGAAGGAAUACAAAAGCAUGCUUUACGCUAAUCCCUAUGUUGUGUAUAAUAACUUUAAACCAUUUUCUCUAGCAGAGCCCCACAACAUCCGACCGCUUAUUAUCACGAGACUUUAAACCAGUCACAAUAGCUACAAUGGAUCCUCGAUACUAUAUAAUUUAUGUAUAUUAUUAAAAAAUGAUUGCCUACAUAUACAAUACACAAUUACAUAAUCACACAUUUAGACAAAAUAAUGUAUUAAAAACCGAAUAUAGUAUCACAUGACAAAUUAAUAUUUGUUAUGUUGUUAACACCGUAAAUAUAAUUUUGAUAUAAAAAGUUAUGGCGUCAUAUGAUUCAUAUAUAUAGUUCGUGUAAUUUUUUAAUAAAUUAUUUUUAUCCGGAUCUGUGGUUAUGUGGUGGUAUAUUAUUCUUCUAGCUUUUUUUUUUUUUGAAACAUUUUUUUUUUUUUUGAAACACAUUAUUCUUCUAGCUACUAAUCAUAUUUUCUAUAUUAUUGUAUUUUCAUUUGUUUUUUGUGUGUUUGUUAGUUUUUUUAUUUUAUUUUAGUGAAUUCUGUUACACAUGCUCAUCAUAUAUUAAGAAACUUGAAACUAUUGUGUGUAAAGAAGUGAAUUAUCACAAAAUAUUGAUGAGUCGAUAAUUAGUUAAGCGGACUCCAUAAAUCUUUUGAUUUCUUUUAUUGGAAAAGAUGAAAUUGUACAAAAUCUUACUUUAUCUUAUCACAAAGAAAACAGGUUUAUUCCAAAGUACAUCUCUCUCCUUGCACUUACACAUCACAAAGAAUCUCUUUAGUAGUCUCUCUUUAUGAAAAGAAAAGAGAGAAAAACAAGAGAGAAUGUUCACUGAAUUUAAAACUUUGGUUUCAGACACAUUAGUCUUAUUCCUUUUAUUAUCUACCACUUUUGGUAUGAUAAAUUUAUUUCAAACCACAAUAUGCUUCUAUUAAUUCAUUACCACUUAUCUCACAUGGAAAGAAGCAUAUUCACAUUUCUUGUCCCACAAGUACCUUCAAAAUAACCUUUCUUUAUCUCUACUCAACGAACUUCAAAGUAAGCCUGACAACUUCAUCAUCUUCUUAUACCACUUCUUGAUUUAUCUCUAAGAACCAAACAUAAGCCAAAACCUAGGAGAGAAAAUGGGAGACCAAGGAGUGCAACAGAUGCAGCAACCUGUUGUAGUGUAUCCAACCGCAUACACUAAACAGUAUCCAUAUCAAUCCUCUUCGUCUUCAUCUUCCUCUGGCUCUCGCGGUUCUUUUGGUACGGUCUUCAUAGUCCUAGCCGUAAUCCUUGUCUUGUCAGUUCUGGCUUGUGUCUUCGGGAGGCUAUUCAACCGUGAGGCUAAGCAGCACCACAGCAAGCAACCAAAAGGGUCGUCUAAGAAGAGCCGUGAGAUUCGGCCUGUGGACCGUGAGCCAAGGGAGAGAGGUGAUUUGGAGUUUGGGUUGGACAUGAAACGCCCUGAGAAUGUUGAGAAACCCUCUCGAAGAGAUCAGGGUGAUGAUAUAGAAUUGGGGUUUGAUAACAAGAGAGAAGAAAGAGGAAGAGGGGGUCCACCUCCUCCUCCCGUUAUCAAACAUGGAGUGAGGUUCAAGUUACCGGAAAAUGGAGACCAUCAUGCUAAAGGUGAAGUCAGACGUGGAGGUCCUGACUUUGAGUUCCGACCAAGACACUAAUUAUCUUGUUGUGUCCAAAAACAAACCACUUAUGCUUAUUAUAUCUUAACUGCUUUAUUUCGUUUCUUGUUUGUGUGUUUUUUUUUUUUUUUCCUUUUCUUUUCUAGAUUGAUUUUAUGGGUAUGGAACUUAGAGCUGAAGCUAUCAAACUUCUAAGUCUCUUGGUGUGAUAUAUACAGCAUUUUCUAUGUAAAUUCUAUAAGAAUCUUGGCAAAAUUAAAGAAUCAACAAAAUUCUAGAAGAACGUGUUUUAUCAGAAUACAGAGUUCUGCACUAUUCAUCCUCCCUCAAAAACAAAACUAAAGACACCUAACAAGAAAUGCAUCUCAAAAAAAAACAAUACACAAAAAUAAUGUCUUUAAAUAGCUCAAGAAAAAGAGGCAGAGUUAUGUAUUACUUUCACCAGUUGUAUGAUUAGAAACGUCUGUUAUUGAAAGGUCGAGUCUCGGAUUCAUUCCCUGAGAAAUCAGAAGAGCUUAUGACAGAGUGAUCUCCACUAUACAUCCCUGCCUCUCCGCUAUCACCAGAACCAAACGCCAUUUUCCUGAACUUCGUGAUGUCUUGGUUGUACUGCCCUGAGUUAUAAGUUGUGCUUUGCCCAACUUUGAUUCCGUUGCUAAUAUCUCCCGACUCCUCAUCACAGUCCAAUGCUCUCACAACCUUUUUUUUACCAAAUGAAUUGAGUUUCGUGUAGAGCAAGCAAGAGUUGUUUUGCUAAAUAUGUUUACCUGAACCAUGCGUGGACGUUUAGGACCAGAAUGUCUAACACAUGCAGCGGCUGUCUCAAUCAUUCUGAAGACUUCAUGCUCCACAUAAUAUUUUUCGAGUCGUCUAUCGAUCAAUUCGCUGAAAUCUCCAGUCUCAAUGGCUUUCAGAAGCAGCGGACGUGCCUGUCAAGUCAUUUAUAAGUAGUACUGCAUGAGUAAACUAGAGCCAAUCUUUUACUGUGAUUGAAGAUUGGUUUCUUACCCAUUCGACCAAACUCUCUUCUCCUAGAGGCUGGUACUGGUCGACUGGUUUGCGUCCAGUUACAAGCUCUAAGAGAACAACCCCAAAUGAGAAAACAUCUGAUCUAUCCGUCAGUUUCCCGCUUUGUGCAUAUUCUGGUGCCAAGUACCUGAAAAACAAAACCCAAUAACGAAGCUCAUGUACUUUUCAACAACUUAAAUGUUUUGGCAAUAAAACAUUUCAGCCUUAUAACAUCUCUAUAUAAACAAACUGGUUAACCAUUGUCAGUUCUAGAAGUUCAAGCACCUAAUACUAUAAAAGAAUUUUUCUUCUCAAAAUCUUACCCAAAUGUUCCCAUAACACGAGUUGAUACAUGGGUUUGUGUUGAAUCAUUGAGCUUGGCAAGUCCAAAGUCAGCAACCUAAACACCAAAGAAGCAGAAAGUUAAGAACAAAUAAAAGUAUUAUCAACUAAAACUUUACAGCCAAACAGCAGAAGUGUUAAAAAAAAGGAUGGUUGUCUAUAUUGCCUGAGCUUCAAAGUCAUCGUCCAGCAGGAUGUUUGCUGACUUUAUGUCCCUGUGAAUGAUUUUUGGGUGACCUGCAAAACAAAACAACACUUGAGACAAUAUUUCUCUUGGUGUCUGAACCAGCAUUGUUAGCCUUUCCCAUUUAUGUCUUAAGGUCUCCACUCUCUCCGUCAGCGUCACUGGUAUAAAUGAAACAUCUCAAUCUUCGUGUUGAUUUGUUCUCUUGCUUAUAACGUUUCUCUGAUCAAUUUAUCUCUCUGUUCAGGUACAUCCAGAGCACAUGUGCCACUUCAGGCGAGGGGCUUUACGAAGGUCUUGACUGGUUGUCCAACAACAUCGCCGGCAAGGUAGAAUAGUUCCAUACCGCAGUUUGUUUUAUUUAUUUUUUCUUAUAUAUGUGCAAGUUGUAAUACUUUCUUCUGUGUUCUUGUUGCUUGAUUGUUGCAGGCGUAGAGGGAAAGCUUGUGGUUGAGCUGAUUUUGCUGGGCAAAUCUGGAUGCAUGGGCAAACAUUAUCUGAUUUUUUCUUUAUUGUUCUGUUCUUUUUUUUUCCUUUUUGGUUUCGGGUAUGUGGAUUUGAUUUUGUGAUCGUUGUUCUGAUUGUGCAAGGAGGAGUCUCUUGCACGUGGAACAUAGAAACUACCUUUUUAUAUAGUUUGUAAUCGAAGAUUUACUCUACUUCUUUCUGCUUCACGUUUCAUUUUUGAUAUUCAAUUUAUAAGUUGGAACCGCGGCUACGUUUA
This 4998-nucleotide long non-coding RNA is filed under the name Brassica napus (rape). RNAcentral describes it as "long non-coding RNA (BNAP_LNC021712)". The record is from RNAcentral. Lineage: Eukaryota; Viridiplantae; Streptophyta; Magnoliopsida; Brassicales; Brassicaceae.